This 451-nucleotide ribosomal RNA is filed under the name uncultured bacterium. RNAcentral describes it as "bacterial SSU rRNA". It matches the Rfam family "Bacterial small subunit ribosomal RNA", at positions 59 to 507 of the family's 1533-position model. The record is from RNAcentral.
AAGUUCCAAGUUUUGAGUUUAUCUUAAACACUUGUUACAUGGCACCUGAUACUUUAUUACAUUUCUAGUGGCGACGGGUGAGUAACACGUUGGAACCUGCCCCAAAGUGAGGAAUAAGCCACCGAAAGGUGGUCUAAUACUUCAUAAUAUCCAUCUCGUAUGGAUUAAAGCUUUAUGCGCUUUGGGAGGGGCCUGCGUAACAUUAGCUUGUUGGUGAGGGUAAAAGCUCACCAAGGCUUCGAUGUUUAACUGGUUUGAGAGGAUGACCAGUCACACUGGGACUGAGAUACGGCCCAGACUCCUACGGGAGGCAGCAGUAAGGAAUCUUCCACAAUGGGGCAACCCUGAUGGAGCAAUACCGCGUGCAGGAUGAAGCGUUUCGGCGUGUAAACUGCUUUUAUCACCGAAGAUUAUGACUGUAGGUGAAGAAUAAGGACCGGCUAACUACGUG